CUGUCCCAUCUACCGGCUGCUCUGAAUCGGGAGCUUCAGAUGUGGACGCGACUCUACCCAACGUGCAGCAUGGCGCGUGUCAAGGUAUGGACUUCAUACUGUUUGGUACCUGCAGGUGGAUGGAUUCGCUCCGGUCCUUAGAAGACAAACGCAGGAUGAUGCUGUCGGCGUUGCGUGUUCUUAACGUUGCCUGAAAAUGUGUCCGCUGCGGAUGGAGAAUGAGGGAGCAGGUACCGGAUGUGGCCUCCAGGAUGGAAGAAGUUUGUGGACAUCUGCAAAAGGAUGAGUAUAUAAUGUGGAUUACGCUAUUCACUAUGAUACAGAAAUGAUCGCCCAGCAGAGCACCAGGCGGUGGCAGAGCGUUCAGAUGUGAUGUAUGAAGAGUCCUUUCUGGCAGAGCUUUGGCCACAAACAUUCGAAUGGAUUCCUUGAUGAUCGCACCUCGACUCCCCAUUUUCCAAUCUACACUAUACUCUGCGCAUUCACAAAGAUGUCCCGGUUCAGGAAUCAUUACCAACCUCUGUCCUACAUGAUACCAGCCGGGACUAUCCUGCUAACCCAUCUGGUCAUACCGCAUCCCUCUGCUCAGAGACCCCCAAAGUACCGAAGCUGAUCCAGUUUACCGGAUCCAUCCGCAGCUCCCACGUCCACUACAGAGCAGCCGUCUGCAGUAAGAGACUGCAAACCCAGUGGAGCAGCCGCUAGGCAUUAAUCCCAGUUUAUUGUCUUUGACUUCAGUAAAGUCAGCCCUGAUCUCCAGCCCCAGCCGUCCGUGUGCUCCAUACCUUCUGUCCUGCAUGAUGACUCCGUGGACUUCACAACUCAUUCGAUCCUCUGCGCAGGUCUAUCUGAUGCUGUUCUGUCUGUAACGUUCUCCUGCUCUCGAAAGCCGAGCCUCAGCGUGGUCAGGUCUUGUCUGAAGAUGAGAAGGAGCCGGCCGCUCGUAAUCUCUUUGGGAAUGGAAAUAAAACCACAUUAACAGCAGUGCAGCUGGACCCGGUGCAGACUAAGAAUGUAAUUAAAUUGUGAUUAUUGUCAAUGUAGAUUUACUAUUACUC
Long non-coding RNA from Spea bombifrons (plains spadefoot toad), 1058 nucleotides. RefSeq lists it as uncharacterized. Lineage: Eukaryota; Metazoa; Chordata; Amphibia; Anura; Pelobatidae. The transcript has 4 exons. The record is from RefSeq and is a predicted model, not a curated record.